This 253-nucleotide ribosomal RNA is filed under the name uncultured bacterium. Its description in RNAcentral is "partial 16S ribosomal RNA". It matches the Rfam family "Bacterial small subunit ribosomal RNA", at positions 524 to 776 of the family's 1533-position model. The record is from RNAcentral.
UACGUAGGCAGCAAGCGUUGUUCGGAGUUACUGGGCGUAAAGGGUGCGUAGGCGGCUUCUUAAGUCUGGUGUGAAAUCUCCCGGCUCAGCUGGGAGGGUGCGCCGGAUACUGAGGGGCUAGAGUGUGGGAGAGGAAAGUGGAAUUCCUGGUGUAGCGGUGAAAUGCGUAGAUAUCAGGAGGAACACCGGUGGUGUAAACGGCUUUCUGGACCAUAACUGACGCUGAGGCACGAAAGCGUGGGUAGCAAACAGG